UACAGAGGGGGCAAGCGUUAUUCGGAAUUAUUGGGCGUAAAGGGCGCGUAGGCGGCCUGGCAAGUGGAUGGUGAAAUCCCUCGGCUUAACCGAGGAACUGCCAUCCAGACUGCUUGGCUUGGGACCGGGAGAGGUGAGUGGAAUUCCCAGUGUAGCGGUGAAAUGCGUAGAUAUUGGGAGGAACACCAGUGGCGAAGGCGGCUCACUGGACCGGUACUGACGCUGAGGCGCGAAAGCGUGGGGAGCAAACGGG
This 253-nucleotide ribosomal RNA is filed under the name uncultured bacterium. RNAcentral's name for it is "partial 16S ribosomal RNA". It matches the Rfam family "Bacterial small subunit ribosomal RNA", at positions 524 to 776 of the family's 1533-position model. The record is from RNAcentral.